Molecule: ribosomal RNA, 680 nt
Filed under: Desulfovibrionales bacterium LSR-S3D5
Lineage: Bacteria; Pseudomonadati; Thermodesulfobacteriota; Desulfovibrionia; Desulfovibrionales
Description: bacterial SSU rRNA
Rfam family: Bacterial small subunit ribosomal RNA
Source: RNAcentral
GGGUGAGUAACGCGUGGAUAAUCUACCCAGAUGUUCGGGAUAACGGCGGGAAACUGCCGCUAAUACCGGAUACGAUCCAAUUUCGGUUGGGUGAAAGGCGGCCUCUGUUUACAAGCUGUCGCAUCUGGAUGAGUCCGCGUCCCAUUAGCUUGUUGGUGGGGUAAUGGCCUACCAAGGCGACGAUGGGUAGCUGGUCUGAGAGGAUGAUCAGCCACACUGGAACUGAAACACGGUCCAGACUCCUACGGGAGGCAGCAGUGGGGAAUAUUGCGCAAUGGGGGAAACCCUGACGCAGCGACGCCGUGUGAGGGAAGAAGGCUUUCGGGUCGUAAACCUCUGUCGGGAGGGAAGAACCUUCCAGGCCUGAAUAAGUCCUGGAACUGACGGUACCUCCAAAGGAAGCACCGGCUAACUCCGUGCCAGCAGCCGCGGUAAUACGGAGGGUGCAAGCGUUAAUCGGAAUCACUGGGCGUAAAGCGCGCGUAGGCGGUCUUUUAAGUCGGACGUGAAAGCCCUCGGCUCAACCGGGGAACUGCGUUCGAAACUGGGAGACUUGAGUCCUGGAGAGGGUGGCGGAAUUCCGGGUGUAGGAGUGAAAUCCGUAGAUAUCCGGAGGAACACCGGUGGCGAANGCGGCCACCUGGACAGGUACUGACGCUGAGGCGCGAAAGCGUGGGGAG